RNAcentral lists this ribosomal RNA (467 nucleotides) under uncultured bacterium. RNAcentral describes it as "partial 16S ribosomal RNA". It matches the Rfam family "Bacterial small subunit ribosomal RNA", at positions 29 to 507 of the family's 1533-position model. The record is from RNAcentral.
ACGAACGCUGGCGGCGUGCUUAACACAUGCAAGUCGAACGGAAAGGCCCUGCUUUUGUGGGGUGCUCGCGUGGCGAACGGGUGAGUAACACGUGAGUAACCUGCCCUCGACUUUGGGAUUACUUCAGGAAACUGGGGCUAAUACCGGAUAGGAGCUCCUGCUGCUUGGUGGGGGUUGGAAAGUUUCGGCGGUUGGGGAUGGACUCGCGGCUUAUCAGCUUGUUGGUGGGGUAGUGGCUUACCACGGCUUUGACGGGUAGCCGGCCUGAGAGGGUGACCGGCCACAUUGGGACUAAGAUACGGACCAGACUCCUACGGGAGGCAACAGUGGGGAGUAUUGCACAAUGGGCGGAAGCCUGAUGCAGCAACGCCGCGUGCGGGAUGACGGCCUUCGGGUUGUGAACCGCUUUCGCCUGUGACGAAGCGUGAGUGACGGUAAUGGGUAAAGAAGCACCGGCUAACUACGUG